RNAcentral lists this ribosomal RNA (330 nucleotides) under Triticum aestivum (bread wheat). RNAcentral's name for it is "partial small subunit ribosomal RNA". Lineage: Eukaryota; Viridiplantae; Streptophyta; Magnoliopsida; Poales; Poaceae. The record is from RNAcentral.
AUGAGCUCUGUCUAUUCCUCCGCAUCGAUUUAUUUUCCUCUGCUCCUUGUGGUCGCCCCCUUCAGUUAUGUCUUGCUAGGGUUUCGGUCUUGGUCGUGCUCCUCCUGCUCGCCGGGGCUCCGCGUGCGCGGCCAAGCUGCCGCCGCCGCCGCCGUGCAGCCGGUCGUGCGCGAUGCUCAACUGCGACUCGGUGGGGAUCCGGUACGGCAAGUUCUGCGGCGUGGGGUGGAGCGGGUGCAAGGGGAGGACCCCUACGACGACCUCGAUGCGUGCUGCCGCGAGCACGACAGUUGCCUCGAAAAAAAAGGUACAUCGUCACUCAUCCCCUAG